RNAcentral lists this transfer RNA (73 nucleotides) under Megalops atlanticus (tarpon). RNAcentral describes it as "tRNA-OTHER". Lineage: Eukaryota; Metazoa; Chordata; Actinopteri; Elopiformes; Megalopidae. The record is from RNAcentral.
GGCAGUGUGGCACAGUGGUAAAGGAGCAGGGCUCAAAACCAAGAGGUUGCUGGUUCGAUUCCCCUCUGGGACA